RNAcentral lists this transfer RNA (74 nucleotides) under Puccinia triticina. RNAcentral describes it as "tRNA-Ile". Lineage: Eukaryota; Fungi; Basidiomycota; Pucciniomycetes; Pucciniales; Pucciniaceae. RNAcentral also lists the same sequence under 1 other name. The record is from RNAcentral.
GUGCACUUCCCUUGAUUGGUAAAAAGCAUCACUGAUGAAUUUUGAGGACAUGGGUUUGAAUCCCACAGUGCACA